Molecule: long non-coding RNA, 1542 nt
Organism: Raphanus sativus (radish)
Lineage: Eukaryota; Viridiplantae; Streptophyta; Magnoliopsida; Brassicales; Brassicaceae
Exons: 4
Source: RefSeq, a predicted model, not a curated record
GUUUAUUGGACGAGAUCAUGUAGUUUUCUCUCAAAGAAAGAAAAAAAAACUGUUUCUUGUUUCGUUGUGUGCAUUCUUUUGCUCAAUUCAGUGGUGUUUUGGUAUAUCACAAAUGUUUUUGGUUUUGUUUCUGUAACGUUAUCUCUUGUGACCGUAGAACAUCGUAGUUCAAGAAAUGCUAUUAUCAUGGUGACACUGGCCUCAUUCACCGUCUACAAGGACAAAGUUUGACUAUAACUGCGGCCAAUAGUACUACCACUAGCACGUAUACAACCGGUGAUAUAGUGGAUUGCGGUAUUGACUAUGUUUCACAGGAAUUUUUCUUCACCAAAAAUGGAUCUCUGGUUGGGACAAGCCCCAACGUCUUCAAAGGUGUUCUGUACCCAACAGUGGCUCUACAUAGCGAAAACGAGGAAGUUACUGUGAAUUUCGAACCUGAAACGUUUCUUUUUGAUCUUGUGGGGUACAAAACAUCUAUCAAGGAAAAGCUCAACGUGGAGAUUGACAAGAUAUCUCUCUCUCCAAGCGUACCUUUAGACCUGGUGAAGAGCUACUUGACUCAGUAUGGAUAUCAGAAUACUCUCCAUGCCCUCGGCGGUCCAGUUCCAGAUCCAGACAACCACCCUCCAGAUCCAGACAACCACCCUCCACAUCCGCCUUCUGAUCUGGAGGUAGUUCUCAGACCGCUUAGGGCUUCGUCUUACUUCUGCCGUCAAUGAAUCCAUUCUUCCUUCACCAGUUGCUUAUAGCCUAACCAUCCGCAUCUUUUAGAACAAACAGUCAAAAACGUUCCACGGUUCCUUUGAGACUUUUGGUCGUUUGACUUCUUUUAGAAAAAUUCCUUUUUUUUUCUUUUUCCUUUUGGCUUUUGUGGAUAAUGGAAAAUAUUUGAUUUCGUAACAAUAGGGGGAAGAACUUUUAAUGUCUUUUUCAACCUCCCAAAAAUACUGAUACAUCUACUCUUCUCUACGAUAGAAUACUAUCAAUGUUUUUCUGGUGUUUCUCUGGCUCAUGCCAUAAUGAGCUUUGAGCUCAGGUCUGAAAAGUUCAAUUUGAUAAAAUAUCCGUCCAGGGAUGGUUGUUUUUUCGUAUCUUAUGAGGGAAGACUAGCUUUGAUGCUAAGCUCCAAUGGCCGCUCUGGUAUUGAAUUGUGGAUCUUGGUAAAUGCAGAGAAUCACGAAUGGGUAUACAAACACUUUCCUACACCUUAUUUUCCUUACACAGUUUGGGCUUUAAGGGAUAUGAAGUUGAAGGGUGUUACUGACGCGGGUGAGUUUAUCUACUUUUAUUCACCAUUCUCUAUUUAUAGACGUCGUACGGACCUUAUUCACCUAAGUUCUGAAGGAUGGAGUGGGUUUAGAGUUAUAUAUUUUGAUCCGAAGAAAAACAGUUCAAGAGACGUUAAGUUUCCAGGAAUUGCAAUUGACGAUUUAAAGUGACUUCGUGUACCUGGAUUCGAUCUUAUGAAAGACUUAACUGUUGUACCAAAUCACAUUGAGACUCUCAUGGCGUUGUAAUAACUGGCUUACGUUUUUUCUUAGA